Molecule: long non-coding RNA, 201 nt
Filed under: Ananas comosus (pineapple)
Lineage: Eukaryota; Viridiplantae; Streptophyta; Magnoliopsida; Poales; Bromeliaceae
Description: long non-coding RNA (ACOM_LNC027882)
Source: RNAcentral
UCCCAAAUAUUAUCAUGUCGACACCCCAUCUUAUCCAUCAAUCUUUUGAUACUUAAUUCAAACUUCUUGAUGCCUAACUCAACUUUUCUCCCAAUAUUGUUCACCUUUUUUUUUAAUUUUCGCAAAUCUUCCUUAACUGAUUCCAAUGUCGUCGCUCCCCCCGAACUAGAUGAAGUAUCAUAACUCCCUCGGGAUGGAGGU